AAGUCGUAACAAGGUUUCCGUAGGUGAACCAGCGGAGGGAUCAUUACAGAGUUGCAAAACUCCCUUACCACCAUCGUGAACAGACCCCGAAACAGUUGCUUCGGCGGGAGGCAGUCCCCCCCUUCACCGGGGGCGGCCGGCCGCGACGCCCGCCGGAGGUACCCAAACUCUUUGUUUUAUAGGCCUCUCUGAGUCUUUGUACUGAAUAAGUCAAAACUUUCAACAACGGAUCUCUUGGUUCUG
Molecule: unclassified non-coding RNA, 243 nt
Filed under: Humicola phialophoroides
Lineage: Eukaryota; Fungi; Ascomycota; Sordariomycetes; Sordariales; Chaetomiaceae
Description: partial internal transcribed spacer region
Rfam family: Eukaryotic small subunit ribosomal RNA (bases 1-46)
Source: RNAcentral